AGAGAACAGAUUGCUGGGCUGACGGAUCGACAGAAGGCGGAGGCGGUAGGGGUGUUGGUGUAACUACACAUGCGCGCUCGGCUUCUGGCAGUCUUCAGGGUUGCUUUCUUCUGGAGGUUACGGGAAGGAAGGGUGAGCGUGCGCAUGCGUGGGCCCCCCUCCCCAACCUAGGACCUGGUUACCUAGGAGACGGCGAGGCGUGCUCUCUCUCCAGGCUUUGGUUGUGUUUCCUCUUUGCUCCGGGCCGUAGCGGCUGAGGCAGCGUUACCACAGUGAGCUUGUAUUUUAUUCAUAAUAAAGAAAAUAUUUCCACGCUUAAAAAAAGUUUGCAAAAUAAAAGAUAUGCCCCUACCUGGGCACCCCACCCCAAUAAGUGGUCUACAACAGGCAGGUGUGAUGAGGAAACUGAGACUCAGAGAAAAGUGACUUGCCCAAGGUCACUUCACUGUAAUAGAAGAUCUGGGAUUUAAACCAGGUGUGACCCAGAGCCCCUGCUCUCCUGCAUGCAGGACUCUGCAAAGAGACUGUGGGCUUCAAGGAGCAAAUUGCCCAAUCACUUCUGUAGAAGAGUGAUGAAGAGGACCUGGCCGAGGCUGCAGCUGUAGUGCUGUUGCUGCCCUCCCGGGCUUGGACCUGCCCCGUUGCUGCCACCCAGUCCAGAGGAGGAGAUGGAAGGGGGCAUGGCGAGCCACAGAGCUAUGGGACAAGAGGAGGAGCCCCGGUGACGUGGCUGAGGAGAGACGUGUUCAUCUCCACAAAGGACGGAGCUGCCUGGGUGGGGGUCUCUGGAACACUGGGCAAAAUUGACCUUACCAAGAGGUCAUCUCCUGGGCGUACCUGAGACCCCUCCUGACCUUGGAGCCCUCUUAGGCUUCUUAGGGAGCCCUGGGUUAAGGCUUGACUCAAAUUCUUCUCACUUCCUGAUGGGUUAUCCCCUGCUAGCUCACCUCCCUGCCUCCAGUCUCCUCUCAACGUCAUUCUCAACCCUUCUGGUGGAUUUCAUCCUCCUAAGAGACCACUUAGGUCAUGUGUUCUAGCCCCAGUGUCUCCACAUCUCUUGCCUUUCAAUUCCUCACCUUUACCUUUUUCUUCUCAACCUCCAAAUAUUAUCGAGUCUCCCCAGCCAAAAAACAGACGGGUAAAGAAAAAAAAACCCUUCCCCUGUCUCGACUUUCCCCUCUCAACUCCCAAACUUCUUGGUACUCCUGGUGUCUGCUUCAUCUCCCACUUGUGUGUAACCCCGGCGGUCUGUUUUUUGCCCACUAUCCCUUCUCUCCAUGGAUACCCCACUAACCGCCUCUGAGUCAGAUGACCUUGUCUUAGCUCCCAUAUGCAGCCAGCUACAGAUGUGAUGCUCCGGGCACCUACUGUGUCAGGCCCUGGGGAGGGAGUGCGGGACCUCCAGACCAGUCCCUGCCCUGCCCUUAGGGAACACCCUUCCCAAGGGUGGACAGACCUUGAAAGGUGACUACAGAUGAGGACCGAAAUCAUUCCAGGUGAUGAGGAUGUUGAGAGGAUGGACAGAGUGUACUGUAUCAUGCAGGGCCCAACCAGGGAAACAGAACUCAUUCCGAGUUUUUAAACAUGGAAUUUCACACAAGGAAUUGGUUACACAGAGGUUGGAAGAGCUGAGAAACCCAGGAGGAGAUGGCAAGGUAACCAGGAAUCCACUAUUAGUCCUGGGUUGGGGGGAAAACAGUGUAAUCAGUGGCGGGGGGGCCAGGGUCACUUGGAAGAAGUUGGAACCACAGAGGAGAUACAAUCCACUUCCAUAGAUACCACUCAGGACUGAGCGGGAUGAAGAUUCUCCUCUCCUUCCACGUUCCACCCUCUGGUCUCCUGCCAGAGCCUCUCAUUGGUCCGGAGCCUGCAGGGGUCAGUCACCUGCAGUGCAGAGCAAAGAAGGUGAGGACCAGAUGGGAGGGCAACAGCCCAGGACCACCACCAGGAUGGGAUGGGAGAGGAUGAGGGGGCGACUGACUUAGUGGAGGGGGCUCAGAGAAGGCUUCCCUGAGGAACUAAGCUGAGACCUGCAAGGUGAAGGGGAAUUGGAGGAGAAAACGUUCCGAGCAAUAACUGACAUUUUAAAAAGACUAAUUUUUUUAGAGCAUGAGGUUCCCAGCAAAAUUGAGCAGAAGGUGCAGAGAUUUGCUAUCUACCCCCUGCCCCCGCACACGCACAGCCUCCCCACUAUCAGCAUCACACACCAGAGUGGUACCUUUGUUACAGUCGAUGAACCUACACUGACACGUUGUAAUCACCCAAAGUCCACUGUUUAUAUUAGGGUUCACUUUUGCUGUUGUAUGGUCUAUAAUACAGUCUAUGGGUUUGGACAAGUGUAUGAUGACAUGUAUUCAUUAUUAUAAUACCAUACAGAGUAUUUUCACUGCCCUAAAAAUCCUCUGUGCUCUGCAUGUUCAUUCCUCCCUCCUCCCACCCCACCACCCCAAACCCUGGCAGCCACUGAUAUUUUUACUAUCUCCAUAGUAAUAAAUAAAUAAAUUGUGAUACAUCCAACCAAUGAAAUACUAUUCAGCGCUAAAACGGAAUGAGCUAUCCGACAUGAAAUGACUUAAAUGCAUAUUACUUAAAAGACUUCUAUGCGUAUUACUAAGGGAAAGAGGACAAUAUGAAAAGAUUCCAUACUGUAUGAUUCCAACUAUAUGACAUUCUGGAAAAGGCAAAAGUAUGGAGACAGUAAGAAGGUCAGUGGUAUUUUUUUUGCCCAUUCUCUUCCUGAGGCUUCAUGGAUACUGUACUUUCUGUCUCUGUUUCUUUCUCCAGUUCUUUUUUUUUGUUUUUUCGGCCGUGCUGCGCGGCUUGUGGGAUCUUAGUUCCCUGGCAUUUCCUCUUUCUCCCAUUCUUAAAGACUGAGGCACAUCCCAAGUUUCAGUCCCAAGCCCCCCACUUCUCUGCACUUUCUCCUUUGGAGUUCUCAUCCAUUCCUAACUUCACUUAAUCAUUCCACAAACAUUAAUUGAGCACCUGGUGUGUGCCAGACACUUGAGUUGGCCCCUGGUGACAGUGAGAGAUGAAUGAGUCAUGAGGCCCGCCCUCCAAGAGGAGAUGGACAAUGUUGCAAUACAAUGUGGACGGUAGUAGGAAGUCCUGGGUGAGGUAAGAACACAUAGAAGAGAUCAAAGAAGGCUUCCUGGAGGAGGUGACCCUUGAGCCGAUUGCUGCCAGGUACGCUAGCAGUGAGCCAGGUGAAUGAGGCGGGAAGAACAUUCAGGUGGAAGGAAUAACAUGUGCACAGGCAGACAAGGGGCCUGUCAAGGCACAUUGUGGACUUGGGUGUGGAAUGCAAGGGAUGCGGGGAGAGAGAGAGCCUCAGGCUGGCCCCGCAGGCUUUGAUCUGGAUUGCAGAGGGCCUUAUAUACUUAGUAGGCUGGGCUGGGGAAAAGACAACAUUUCUAGAACACAAUUUGAUUUAAAAUUUUUUUUUCUUUUUUCAUCUUUAUUGGAGUAUAAUUGCUUUACAAUGAUGUGUUAGUUUCUGCUGUACAACAAAGUGAAUCAGCUAUGUGUAUACAUAUAUCCCCAUAUCUCCUCCCUCUUGAGCCUCCCUCCCACCCUCCCUAUCCCACCCCUCUAGGUGGUCACAGAGCA
Molecule: long non-coding RNA, 3609 nt
Organism: Globicephala melas (long-finned pilot whale)
Lineage: Eukaryota; Metazoa; Chordata; Mammalia; Artiodactyla; Delphinidae
Source: RefSeq, a predicted model, not a curated record